Molecule: ribosomal RNA, 358 nt
Filed under: Clostridioides difficile
Lineage: Bacteria; Bacillati; Bacillota; Clostridia; Peptostreptococcales; Peptostreptococcaceae
Description: partial 23S ribosomal RNA
Rfam family: Bacterial large subunit ribosomal RNA
Source: RNAcentral
AGCCCAGAUCGUCAGCUAAGGUCCCUAAAUGUAAGUUAAGUGGUAAAGGAUGUGGGAUUGCACAGACAACCAGGAUGUUGGCUUAGAAGCAGCCACUCAUUCAAAGAGUGCGUAAUAGCUCACUGGUCGAGUGAUCCUGCGCCGAAGAUUUCCGGGGCUAAAACUUACUACCGAAGCUACGGCAUCAUUAUGAUGGGUAGGGGAGCUUCCCAUACGGGUUGAAGCAUGACCGUAAGGACAUGUGGACAGUAUGGGAGUGAGAAUGUUGGCAUGAGUAGCGAGAUGUGGGUGAGAAUCCCACAGGCCGUAAACCCAAGGUUUCCAGGGGAAGGUUCGUCCGCCCUGGGUUAGUCGGGAC